UGGGGAAUUGUUCGCAAUGGGCGCAAGCCUGACGACGCAACGCCGCGUGGAGGACGAAGAUCUUCGGGUCGUAAACUCCUGUCGAGUGGGAAGAAUGGAUCGAGGGUGAAUAAUCCUCGGUAUUGACGGUACCACUAAAGGAAGCCCCGGCUAACUCCGUGCCAGCAGCCGCGGUAAUACGGGGGGGGCAAGCGUUGUUCGGAAUUAUUGGGCGUAAAGAGCUCGUAGGCGGCUUGGCAAGUCGGGUGUGAAACCUCCAGGCUCAACCUGGAGACGCCACUCGAUACUGCCAUGGCUAGAGUCCGGUAGGGGACCACGGAAUUCCUGGUGUAGCGGUGAAAUGCGCAGAUAUCAGGAGGAACACCGGUGGCGAAGGCGGUGGUCUGGGCCGGCACUGACGCUGAGGAGCGAAAGCGUGGGUAGCAAAC
Molecule: ribosomal RNA, 428 nt
Filed under: uncultured bacterium
Lineage: Bacteria
Description: bacterial SSU rRNA
Rfam family: Bacterial small subunit ribosomal RNA
Source: RNAcentral